GAUGAACGCUGGCGGCGUGCCUAAUACAUGCAAGUAGAACGCUGAAGGAGGAGCUUGCUCUUCUGGAUGAGUUGCGAACGGGUGAGUAACGCGUAGGUAACCUGCCUGGUAGCGGGGGAUAACUAUUGGAAACGAUAGCUAAUACCGCAUGACAACAGUUAUUGCAUGAUAACUGUUUAAAAGGGGCAACUGCUCCACUACCAGAUGGACCUGCGUUGUAUUAGCUAGUUGGUGAGGUAACGGCUCACCAAGGCGACGAUACAUAGCCGACCUGAGAGGGUGAGCUGCCACGCUGGGACGGGGACACGGUCCGGAACCCUAGGGGAGGCAGCAGUAGGGAAUCUCCGGCAAUGGACGCAAGUCUGAACGAGGAACGCCGCGUGAGUGCAGAAGGUAUUCAGGUCGUGAAGAUCUGUUGUGAGAGAGGAACGAGUGUGAGUGUGGCAAGUUCACACUGUGACGGUAUCCUAACAGAAAGCGACGGCUAACUACGUG
RNAcentral lists this ribosomal RNA (495 nucleotides) under uncultured bacterium. RNAcentral describes it as "partial 16S ribosomal RNA". It matches the Rfam family "Bacterial small subunit ribosomal RNA", at positions 28 to 507 of the family's 1533-position model. The record is from RNAcentral.